Molecule: ribosomal RNA, 253 nt
Filed under: uncultured bacterium
Lineage: Bacteria
Description: partial 16S ribosomal RNA
Rfam family: Bacterial small subunit ribosomal RNA
Source: RNAcentral
UACGUAGGGGGCUAGCGUUGUCCGGAAUCAUUGGGCGUAAAGCGCGCGUAGGCGGUCAGGAAAGUCCGGUGUGAAAGUCAUAGGCUCAACCUAUGGAUGCCGCUGGAAACUGCCUGACUUGAGUCCGGAAGGGGCGAGUGGAAUUCCUGGUGUAGCGGUGAAAUGCGCAGAUAUCAGGAGGAACACCAGUGGCGAAGGCGACUACCUGGCCCAUUCUUGACGCUGAGGCGCGAAAGCUAGGGGAGCGAACGGG